CUGACCGGCUAAAAAGUCGAGAAGUGGAUGACGUCAAAUCAUCAUGCCCCUUAUGACCUGGGCUACACACGUGCUACAAUGGCGGUACAAAGGGUCGCGAACCCGCGAGGGGAGCCAAUCCCAAAAAGCCGCUCUCAGUUCGGAUUGCAGGCUGCAACUCGCCUGCAUGAAGCCGGAAUCGCUAGUAAUCGCGGAUCAGCAUGCCGCGGUGAAUACGUUCCCGGGCCUU
Molecule: ribosomal RNA, 229 nt
Filed under: uncultured Anoxybacillus sp.
Lineage: Bacteria; Bacillati; Bacillota; Bacilli; Caryophanales; Anoxybacillaceae
Description: partial 16S ribosomal RNA
Rfam family: Bacterial small subunit ribosomal RNA
Source: RNAcentral